Carassius auratus (goldfish) is the source of this 970-nucleotide long non-coding RNA. RefSeq lists it as uncharacterized. The record is from RefSeq and is a predicted model, not a curated record. The transcript is spliced from 4 exons. Lineage: Eukaryota; Metazoa; Chordata; Actinopteri; Cypriniformes; Cyprinidae.
CGGAGAAGGAGCUGUAGAUGAGAUGGACCGAUCUGGGAAUUCCUACAAUUACUAAUGAGGGAAAUCCAGAGGUCCAAAAUAUUUGAAGGACCGGAAGACAAAAGACUACUGGCUCUUGAUACUCAUGCUCUUGAGAAUGCCUUGUACACGACCAUUGCAAAAAUGAUUGCAAUGUGCAUAGUUCAUGGUGGAGUUGGCCCUCAUUUUUUUUUUCUAAUCAUCUUUUCAUGCAACUCUGUGGUAAGUGUACACUUCCUGUUUCCCUUGAGUAAAUAGCAGACAGCAUCUUCAGAGAAAAACUCUCAAAGAUUAAAGAAGCAGACUCUGUUGAACAUGCAAAUUCUGCAAUCUCAGAUGCUGGAGACAGUCUGUACAUGAUGGGAGCACUUAGGUACAUCUCAUCUCUUGAAGAGAGGGAUUCCCUGGUCCAAUCUGCAGCAGAAUACUUUGUGAAUGGGCAGACAAAUUUGGCUCUCAGACAAAGGUGACUGCAAUCCGUUGACACUGCCAAUGGUACUGGAGUUUGCUUCUGGAGCCUCAUCUGUGCCUCCACUAGGAUUCCCCCAUCAGCAAAAAAUCGAAUUUCUUCAUACAUCUGGUCAAGACACCAGAGUAUUUCCAGAAGCCAACACAUGCCUUAUUGUUCUUAGACUUUCAAUUCACAGUACUUACGAAUCUUUAAGACCCUACAUAGGUGAAGGUAUUUUGCAGUCACUAACUUUCGGCACCACAAAAUAAUUCAUGUACCUUGUUCAUGUAAGGGUGUUAAAUGAAAUACUUCAUGUUUCAGCACAGUUUCAAAAGUUAAUGAAACAAUCCUCUUAACACUUCUUCACUAAAAUGCCAUCUCAAACAAGUUUUACAGUUACUGUGUUUACUGUUAUUGUUGUACUAUUCUUACCUUUAAUGUUAGUUUUUGUUUACAAUUGUAGAUACACACUUUGUUUCAUUUACUUUACAUCAAAUAUAU